AACGAACGCUGGCGGCAUGCCUAACACAUGCAGGUCGAACGAGACCUUCGGGUCUAGUGGCGCGCGGGUGCGUAACGCGUGGGAACCUGCCCUUAGGUUCGGAAUAACUCCCCGAAAGGGGUGCUAAUACCGGAUAAUGUCUUCGGACCAAAGAUUUAUCGCCUUUGGAUGGGCCCGCGUUGGAUUAGCUAGUUGGUAGGGUAAAAGCCUACCAAGGUGACGAUCCAUAGCUGGUCUGAGAGGAUGAUCAGCCACACUGGGACUGAGACACGGCCCAGACUCCUACGGGAGGCAGCAGUGGGGAAUAUUGGACAAUGGGCGAAAGCCUGAUCCAGCAAUGCCGCGUGAGUGAUGAAGGCCUUAGGGUUGUAAAGCUCUUUUACCCGGGAUGAUAAUGACAGUACCGGGAGAAUAAGCUCCGGCUAACUCCGUG
This 433-nucleotide ribosomal RNA is filed under the name uncultured bacterium. Its description in RNAcentral is "partial 16S ribosomal RNA". It matches the Rfam family "Bacterial small subunit ribosomal RNA", at positions 29 to 507 of the family's 1533-position model. The record is from RNAcentral.